Molecule: ribosomal RNA, 170 nt
Filed under: uncultured rumen bacterium
Lineage: Bacteria
Description: partial 16S ribosomal RNA
Rfam family: Bacterial small subunit ribosomal RNA
Source: RNAcentral
UACGGGAGGCAGCAGUGGGGAAUAUUGCACAAUGGGGGAAACCCUGAUGCAGCAAUGCCGCGUGAGGGAAGACGGUCUUCGGAUUGUAAACCUAAGUAGUCAGGGACGAAGAAAGUGACGUUACCUGAAGAGUAAGCUCCGGCUAACUACGUGCCAGCAGCCGCGGUAAU